CGAGAGGCUUCGGCAAUGGGGGAAACCCUGACCGAGCGACGCCGCGUGGGCGAUGAAGGCCGUUAGGUUGUAAAGCCCUGUCGUGUGGGACGAAUUCAGGAGGGUGAACAACCCUUCUGUUUGACGGUACCGCAAAAGGAAGCUCCGGCUAACUCCGUGCCAGCAGCCGCGGUAAUACGGGGGGAGCGAACGUUGUUCGGAAUCACUGGGCGUAAAGGGCGUGCAGGCGGCUCGGUAAGUGGAAGGUGAAAUGCCCUGGCUCAACCAGGGAACUGCCUUCCAGACUGCCGAGCUUGAGUGCGGGAGAGGAUGGGAGAAUUCCCGGUGUAGCGGUGGAAUGCAUUGAUAUCGGGAGGAAUACCAGUGGCGAAGGCGCCCAUCUGGCCCGACACUGACGCUCAGGCGCGAAAGCUAGGGGAGCAAAC
Molecule: ribosomal RNA, 425 nt
Filed under: uncultured bacterium
Lineage: Bacteria
Description: bacterial SSU rRNA
Rfam family: Bacterial small subunit ribosomal RNA
Source: RNAcentral